AAUUCGCAGCCCGACUUGAGUGGAGCUCAUUUUUUUCAUUGCGAUUCUAUAAAAGUUCAACGAAAUAAUUCUCGUCGUUCGCAAUGAUAAAAAUAGCGGGAACGGAAGGCGGAAAAGCUG
RNAcentral lists this unclassified non-coding RNA (120 nucleotides) under Epilithonimonas lactis. RNAcentral describes it as "Chryseobacterium halperniae Flavo-1 RNA". Lineage: Bacteria; Pseudomonadati; Bacteroidota; Flavobacteriia; Flavobacteriales; Weeksellaceae. The record is from RNAcentral.